GUAUUUAAAGUUUUAAAGGCAUUCAAAGCCCAACAACAAACAUUCUGAGACAUACUAUAGGGGUAUAUAUAAACAUAGACCGGAAGUACAAGGAAAGCUGGCUUUGCGCACAGCAGUCCUCAAACCGAGUUUCCUCGAGAGUUUAUCCAGGUCUACAGAAGGUGCACAGGUGGUAAAAAGGUUGGUGUUAAGCGUGCACAUGCUCCGAAGAGCCAGCAACAACCUAACCAAGCUUAUUCAAUAAUGAUCCUUCCGCAGGUUCACCUACGGAAA
RNAcentral lists this unclassified non-coding RNA (273 nucleotides) under uncultured fungus. Its description in RNAcentral is "sequence contains ITS1". The record is from RNAcentral. Lineage: Eukaryota; Fungi.